Non-coding RNA from Phrynosoma platyrhinos (Desert horned lizard), 69 nucleotides. The record is from the annotation of a GenBank genome assembly. Lineage: Eukaryota; Metazoa; Chordata; Lepidosauria; Squamata; Phrynosomatidae.
GCCAGUGUGGUUUAGUGGUUUAGUGUUGGAUUGUGACUCUAGAGGCCAAGGUUCAAUUCCUAGUAGCCA